UACGGGGGGUGCGAGCGUUGUCCGGAAUUACUGGGCGUAAAGGGCGCGUAGGCGGCCUGUUAAGUCGAACGUGAAAUCCCCGGGCUCAACCCGGGAACUGCGUCCGAUACUGGCAGGCUUGAAUCCGGGAGAGGGAUGCGGAAUUCCAGGUGUAGCGGUGAAAUGCGUAGAUAUCUGGAGGAACACCGGUGGCGAAGGCGGCAUCCUGGACCGGCAUUGACGCUGAGGCGCGAAAGCCAGGGGAGCAAACGGGG
RNAcentral lists this ribosomal RNA (254 nucleotides) under uncultured bacterium. Its description in RNAcentral is "partial 16S ribosomal RNA". It matches the Rfam family "Bacterial small subunit ribosomal RNA", at positions 524 to 777 of the family's 1533-position model. The record is from RNAcentral.